AAUUAUAAUAUUAAUGCAUAAAAAAGAGAUAAUAAUGGGUUAAUUUCAUACAGCUCCCUGCAAACAUAUCGAGUAACAAAUAUAUUUCAAUAAAAUUUAAGUUUUCAUAUUUAUCUUCUGCCUCUUUGUUUUGUUACCAUUAACGCAUUAUUUAUUUUUUAACAGAGAAUAAGUAAAAUAACAUUUUUGUCAUUGCAAAUAUAUCUCUCCAAAAGCUCAACUGUUAGAAUUAUGAAUUAUGUAGAAAUACUCUUUUAAAAAUUUUCAACGGUUAUCUUCUUCUUUUCUGCUAUAAUAAAUAAUAUAAAAAAUAUAAAAAGGUUAACUUACCUUACGCACUAAUCAGGAUUAAGUAUUUUUUCUAUGGUUAAUCAUAUUUUUCUAACGUAUUCUAAUAACAAGAGUAUAUUUGAAAAUGUUAUGAUUUUUAUAGAAUAACAUAUGAAAAAUUAAACCUCGUAGGAAUAUAUCUAUUAUUUGAUAUGUUUAUAGAAAACUGUAUGCAAUUAACCCAACUAUUAGAAGAGCUAAUUUCUCUUUUUGCAAAAGAAGACUUAAUUAUUUUGUGAAUUUGAAUAUAAAAGAGUAUUUGGUUGUUCGAAAAGUAUGAAAAAUUAUUUUUUGAAAAAAAAGAUUUUAUGCAGU
This 645-nucleotide long non-coding RNA is filed under the name Ananas comosus (pineapple). RNAcentral's name for it is "long non-coding RNA (ACOM_LNC011639)". Lineage: Eukaryota; Viridiplantae; Streptophyta; Magnoliopsida; Poales; Bromeliaceae. The record is from RNAcentral.